Molecule: ribosomal RNA, 497 nt
Filed under: uncultured bacterium
Lineage: Bacteria
Description: partial 16S ribosomal RNA
Rfam family: Bacterial small subunit ribosomal RNA
Source: RNAcentral
GAUGAACGCUGGCGGCGUGCCUAAUACAUGCAAGUCGAGCGAACAGAUGAGGAGCUUGCUCCUCUGACGUUAGCGGCGGACGGGUGAGUAACACGUGGAUAACCUACCUAUAAGACUGGGAUAACUUCGGGAAACCGGAGCUAAUACCGGAUAAUAUAUUGAACCGCAUGGUUCAAUAGUGAAAGACGGUUUUGCUGUCACUUAUAGAUGGAUCCGCGCCGCAUUAGCUAGUUGGUAAGGUAACGGCUUACCAAGGCAACGAUGCGUAGCCGACCUGAGAGCAGGAGAAGCAGAACGGGAAAGGAGACACGGUCGCGACUCCUACGGGCGGCAGCAGUGCGGAAUAUUACGAAGUGCGCGUAGGCCUGACGGAGCAAUGCGGCGUGAGUAAUGAUGGUGUUCGUAUCGUACAACUCCGUUACGAGGGAACAACACAAGUGUAAGGCAACAUGCGUGUCUUGACCCGACCUAAUCAGAAGGCAACGGCUACCUAUGAA